CAACACACAGGGGCUUUGAUGAAAAUGCCCAUGAUAUAAAAUGGCCGGAGGCUAGGGUUUUGCGGUGAAAUCACCGCCAAACUCCACACAAGCGGCACUAUAAAAAUGCCGUCUAGUUCCCUUUUCGUGGAUCUGAGCUGCUUGUCUCUUGCUCGUGCAAGCUAAAACCCAGGUAUACUUGUAUUUUUAGCUGAUUAGUACUCUUGUUUUAGUGAUGGGAACAUGUGAUUAUGAUUUUAAGUUUUGAUAAUGCUGUUUUUUAUAUGAAUUAUAUAUGUCUCUACUGAUGAUGUAUAGCUUAAAACUUUCGUUCUUCUGAGAAAUUACCCAUGUGGAAUUCAUAUGGAGACCUGAACUGAAGAGACAUCUUGUGAUUUUUUUUCCCUCUUGGCUUACCAGUAAUUGGGUUUUUGAGUGGUCUGAUUAUCAUCAUAUAAAAUGUUUAAAACGAUUGUCAAAUGAUUUUUGUGUGGCCUCUGAGGAUGAUGAGUAGAAUACUUUCGUUCUUCUGAGAUGUUCCAUGCGGAAACCUUUUGGAGACCUGAACUGAAGAGGCUUGAUUCUGAUUUCUAUGUUGAAAAUCUGGACUAUUUGACCUUUCUUUUUAGUACAUUUCUAGCUUAUAUUCUAUAUUUUUAUUACAUUUUUAGUGCAUUUUUUUACUUGAGAAUGGAACCUUGUUGAAGAUUUGUUGCGGGUUUGGCAAUGUGGCAAUUGAAGAUAUUGCCUGUGUUUUUAGGAUCGUGUUUUGAAGUAAGACCAACUUUUAAGCCUCCAUAGUGUUUGUGUGAUCAGUUUUAUAUUUCUUAAUCCAUUAUAUCUCCUCCUUUGUUUGACUAUUGAGGACUUGAAUUCACUGAUUUGUAUUGCAUGUUUUCAUCUAAGAAAUUUCAAUAUAAGAUGUAAAAUUAUCUAUUUCGGUCUUGAGUUUCUAGUCAUUUUUAUUUAUUGUUGUUUUAGACAUCUAAGAUCUUCUUUUUCCCCCUCUCUAAUGAUGUGGUUUUUAAAACUUUCGUUCUCCUGAGCUUAAUAAUGCUGAAAAAUUGUGGAGACCUGAGCUGAAGAGUUUUAAAGAAGAUCUUCAAUAUCUGAUCUGGUUAGUCGUUAUUUUUAUUUUGCAAUGAUUAGUAUCUUGUGAAAUAUGAAAAAAAAUAUGCCAACCAAAAGCCAGAAUGUAAAACUCCUUUGCCUUUUCAUACUGGUGACUUAUGAUUCUUUGUUGUGUUCAUUUUAUUUGACAUAAUUUUCUCCUUUUUCUUUUCAAGUGAAACCCUGGUUCCUAUAGAUUGAUGAUUCAUUUGCCCUGCUUGAUGCACAUGUGAUUUUAAUUGUAAAUUUGUUUCUCUCUAAUUAAUUAUUGCUAUUCUUUUGUAUAGUGCUGGGGAUAUUUGUUGAAGACAACUUAAAAAGAACCAAGUCCUUUCAAGAUGAGGUACUGAUUGAUAGUUGAGCUGUUUUAUUCUACCUCUUAGUUUCAGGUUUUUCUGUUUAAGGAUUAAUAGUUGAGCUGUUUAUUUACCUACUUGCUAACUAUCAUUUGUUCUGUUUUCUGUUCCUACCUUUUUUUUUCUCUUUUAGCCGGCCAAUGGAGGAAGAGGUAUGAUAUUUUCCGUCUCUGAACUUCUGUAUACUGCUCUUAUUUGUUCUAAUUUUUUUCAUUGUUUUUUUUUAUUUAAUGCAGCUAUAAUGGCUAGGUUUUCUGAAUCACAUGUUUAGAUUUUUCAAGAAAUUAUUUGCUUGUCAAAUUUUUUAUGUGAUAGUUGUGAAUGAUUCUCAUUUUAUGACAUUUUUUUUUUUUUACUAUUUGUGUUAGAUCCUUUCCUAGUUCUUAGUUUAUGCUGUUGCGGUGCUUUUCUUUGCUGUGAUAAUCUGGGAACUUAAAGCAGCUUGUUUUUUUGUUAUUCACAACAGUCUCUCUCUCUCUCUCUCUCU
RNAcentral lists this unclassified non-coding RNA (1932 nucleotides) under Hevea brasiliensis (rubber tree). The stretch from base 473 to 556 matches the Rfam family "Small nucleolar RNA Z159/U59". Lineage: Eukaryota; Viridiplantae; Streptophyta; Magnoliopsida; Malpighiales; Euphorbiaceae. The record is from RNAcentral.